This 463-nucleotide ribosomal RNA is filed under the name uncultured bacterium. RNAcentral's name for it is "partial 16S ribosomal RNA". It matches the Rfam family "Bacterial small subunit ribosomal RNA", at positions 28 to 504 of the family's 1533-position model. The record is from RNAcentral.
GACGAACGCUGGCGGCGUGCUUAACACAUGCAAGUCGAACGGAAAGGCCCAGCUUGCUGGGUACUCGAGUGGCGAACGGGUGAGUAACACGUGGGUGAUCUGCCCUGGACUCUGGGAUAAGCCUGGGAAACUGGGUCUAAUACCGGAUAUGACCUUACAUCGCAUGGUGUUUGGUGGAAAGCUUUUGCGGUUCAGGAUGGGCCCGCGGCCUAUCAGCUUGUUGGUGGGGUAAUGGCCUACCAAGGCGACGACGGGUAGCCGACCUGAGAGGGUGAUCGGCCACACUGGGACUGAGACACGGCCCAGACUCCUACGGGAGGCAGCAGUGGGGAAUAUUGCACAAUGGGCGCAAGCCUGAUGCAGCGACGCCGCGUGAGGGAUGACGGCCUUCGGGUUGUAAACCUCUUUCACCAGGGACGAAGCGUGAGUGACGGUACCUGGAGAAGAAGCACCGGCCAACUAC